RNAcentral lists this ribosomal RNA (736 nucleotides) under uncultured organism. Its description in RNAcentral is "bacterial SSU rRNA". It matches the Rfam family "Bacterial small subunit ribosomal RNA", at positions 13 to 792 of the family's 1533-position model. The record is from RNAcentral.
UUGAUCCUGGCUCACGAUGAAGUCUAGCGGUCUGCUUAACACAUGCAAGUCGAACGCAAGCUUCGGGUUGAGUGGCGGACGGGUGAGUAACGCGUGAGAAUCUGCCUUGGGGUCGGGGACAACCACUGGAAACGGGUGGCUAAUACCGGAUAAGCCUUUGGGUAAAAGAUUUAUUGCCCCAAGAGGAGCUCGCGUCUGAUUAGCUAGUUGGUGAGGUAAAAGCUCACCAAGGCAGCGAUCAGUAGCUGGUCUGAGAGGACGAUCAGCCACACUGUGACUGAGACACGGCCCAGACUCCUACGGGAGGCAGCAGUGGGGAAUUUUCCGCGGUGGGCGAAAGCCUGACGGAGCAAGACCGCGUGAGGGAGGAAGGCUCUUGGGUUGUAAACCUCUUUUCUCAGGGAAGAAGCUCUGACGGUACCUGAGGAAUCAGCCUCGGCUAACUCCGUGCCAGCAGCCGCGGUAAUACGGAGGAGGCAAGCGUUAUCCGGAAUUAUUGGGCGUAAUGCGUCCGCAGGUGGCGAUUCAAGUCUGCUGCCAAAGCACGGGGCUUAACUCCGUUAAGGCAGUGGAAACUGAAUAGCUAGAGUGCCGUAGGGGUAGAGGGAAUUCCCGGUGUAGCGGUGAAAUGCGUAGAGAUCGGGAAGAACAUCGGUGGCGAAAGCGCUCUACUGGACGGCAACUGACACUCAGGGCCGAAAGCUAAGGGAGCGAAAUGGGAUUAGAUACCCCAGUA